AUGGAAUUCCUCACCGCACGCGGGCUCUGCGCAGAGCUCUGCGCUGGAGGAAAGUAGCUUCAAGCAGCCUUUGAUGGCAGCUUCUCUUGAGUGGUUUCUGCCGCGGGAUUUUCCUGCUUUCACCAGUGCUUUAAUGCAAUUUAUCAUGUGAACGUGCUGGCUGAGAAGCUUUGCCUGAGUUCCAUUUGCCUUCAACUGUUAAUCCUACCAGUAUGAAUCCAAUUUCCAUAGUGAGCCUUUUAAAAAUGCCCCUUUUCCCUUUCCUUUGGAUUGUUCUUAUUGGAAAGUUAUGCUUUCAAAUCAUUUCCUUCUCUUUCUCCCACCCCACUUCUCUCCCUGUUUUCUCUCUAUCACAUACAUCAUUGUCAACAGUCUAUCAUUCCAACCCAAAGUCAGCUUUUUUACACGUUGAAAUCUGAGUGCAAAAGUUCAAAACCCCUACAGCAGUUCUCCAUUUCCCCACUUCGCUCCAGCCAAUCCCUAUCCCCACCUACUUACUAUCUUGGAACAAUAUUGACUGUGGUCACCAAAUUCAAACACACAAUUUGAGAUUUCCAGCUCCAGUGACAUGAAGAAUGUCGUGUGGUUCCACAUGACUCAUCUGUGAUUGAGAGCUGCAAGGUCUCUGGGCAAAGGACUCUUUAGUAGCUGUAUAUGCGGGAGAAGCUCUGCUUUAUGGACCAGACUUAGAUUCAGAGAGGAAACUCUCCCUUCAUAAAAGUCUUCAGCAGAAAAGAAAUGGAAGAAUCCAGGGAUGGCGCUCCCUACCAUGCUGUGGCUCCGAGAGGAUGGCAACGCUGGGAUAAUCCAGCAAUUCUCUGCCUCUUCGUCACAGGACACUGUCACAGUCGUAAAAAUAACUGAUGUUGCCAAUAACUUUUAUUUGUUUGGAGC
Long non-coding RNA from Fukomys damarensis (Damara mole-rat), 894 nucleotides. RefSeq lists it as uncharacterized. The record is from RefSeq and is a predicted model, not a curated record. NCBI's taxonomy places the organism in Eukaryota, Metazoa, Chordata, Mammalia, Rodentia, Bathyergidae. The transcript is spliced from 4 exons.